AAUGCAAUCCAUUAAUGGGAAAUGGCAAGCUACCUCGGGUUUCAAGCAGUCCCUCUCUCAAGGUAAUUGGAUCUCAAAAAGGGUACAAGAGUUCUCCAUUGCAAGAUAGAUCCGAAUUGGCCAAUUCUUCACAGGAGGAGUCCUCCGUAUCUGAACAAACCCCAAAUGGGGAAGCUGCUUUGAAGUCGACCAGUGAGUUGAAUUCCAAGAAAAGAAAAGCAGUUUCCAAGGCAAAAGCAAAAGAAUCACAGCCAGGAUCAACCCCACCAGCCAAUUGUGCAGCUAAGGAUGCAGAAACUGAUGAUAAUUCAAACACAAAGCGAAGCAAGACAAAUGAAGGGAAUGGAAAUGAAAAAAGUGCUGUUAAAGCAGAGGAAGAACAGAAGGGAAGUGGUGGGGAUGAGAAACAAAACCAGAAUAACAACACAAAGCCUCCUGAGCCCCCUAAGGACUACAUUCAUGUCAGAGCAAGAAGGGGUCAAGCCACAGAUAGUCACAGCUUAGCUGAAAGAGUUCGAAGAGAGAAAAUCAGUGAAAGAAUGAAGCUUCUCCAAGAUCUUGUACCAGGUUGCAAUAAGGUCACAGGCAAAGCUCUUAUGCUUGAUGAAAUUAUAAACUAUGU
Molecule: unclassified non-coding RNA, 622 nt
Filed under: Hevea brasiliensis (rubber tree)
Lineage: Eukaryota; Viridiplantae; Streptophyta; Magnoliopsida; Malpighiales; Euphorbiaceae
Source: RNAcentral